RNAcentral lists this ribosomal RNA (376 nucleotides) under uncultured organism. RNAcentral describes it as "bacterial SSU rRNA". It matches the Rfam family "Bacterial small subunit ribosomal RNA", at positions 526 to 896 of the family's 1533-position model. The record is from RNAcentral.
CGGGGGGAGCAAGCGUUGUUCGGAUUUACUGGGCGUAAAGGGCGCGUAGGCGGCCACCGCAAGUCGACUGUGAAAUCUCCGGGCUUAACCCGGAAAGGUCAGCCGAUACUGCGGGGCUAGAGUGCAGAAGGGGGCAACUGGAAUUCUCGGUGUAGCGGUGAAAAUGCGUAGAUAUCGAGAGGAACACCUGCGGCGAAGGCGGGUUGCUGGGCUGACACUGACGCUGAGGCGCGAAAGCUAGGGGAGCGAACGGGAUUAGAUACCCCGGUAGUCCUAGCCUUAAACGACGAAUGCUUGGUGUCUGGGGUUUUAUAGUCCCCGGGUGCCGUCGCUAACGCUUUAAGCAUUCCGCCUGGGGAGUACGGUCGCAAGACUG